GACAGAGGGUGCAACCGUUGUUCGGAAUUACUGGGCGUAAAGCGCGUGUAGGCGGUUAUGCAAGUCGGGUGUGAAAGCCCCGGGCUCAACCCGGGAAGUGCAUUCGAUACUGCGUAGCUAGAGUACUGGAGAGGAUGGUGGAACUCUCGGUGUAGAGGUGAAAUUCGUAGAUAUCGAGAAGAACACCGGUGGCGAAGGCGGCCAUCUGGACAGAUACUGACGCUGAGACGCGAAAGCGUGGGGAGCAAACAGG
RNAcentral lists this ribosomal RNA (253 nucleotides) under uncultured bacterium. RNAcentral's name for it is "partial 16S ribosomal RNA". It matches the Rfam family "Bacterial small subunit ribosomal RNA", at positions 524 to 776 of the family's 1533-position model. The record is from RNAcentral.